GACAGAGGGUGCAAACGUUGUUCGGAAUUACUGGGCGUAAAGCGCACGUAGGCGGAUCGAUCAGUCAGGGGUGAAAUCCCAGAGCUCAACUCUGGAACUGCCUUUGAUACUGUCGAUCUGGAGUAUGGAAGAGGUGAGUGGAAUUCCGAGUGUAGAGGUGAAAUUCGUAGAUAUUCGGAGGAACACCAGUGGCGAAGGCGGCUCACUGGUCCAUUACUGACGCUGAGGUGCGAAAGCGUGGGGAGCAAACAGG
RNAcentral lists this ribosomal RNA (253 nucleotides) under uncultured bacterium. RNAcentral describes it as "partial 16S ribosomal RNA". It matches the Rfam family "Bacterial small subunit ribosomal RNA", at positions 524 to 776 of the family's 1533-position model. The record is from RNAcentral.